RNAcentral lists this ribosomal RNA (406 nucleotides) under uncultured bacterium. RNAcentral describes it as "partial 16S ribosomal RNA". It matches the Rfam family "Bacterial small subunit ribosomal RNA", at positions 30 to 526 of the family's 1533-position model. The record is from RNAcentral.
AUUGAACGCUGGCGGCAGGCCUAACACAUGCAAGUCGAACGAGUGGCGGACGGGUGAGUAAUGUCUGGGAAACUGCCCGAUGGAGGGGGAUAACUAAUGGAAACGGUAGCUAAUACCGCAUACCAUCGGAUGUGCCCAGCUGGGAUUAGCUAGUAGGUGGGGUAACGGCUCACCUAGGCGACGAGCCCUAGCUGGUGUGAGAGGAUGACCAGCCACACUGGAACUGAGCAACGGUCCAUCCUCGUACGGGGGGCAGCAGGGGGGAAAAUGGCACAAUGGGCGCAAGCCUGAUGCAGCCAGGCCGCGUGUAUGAAGAAGGCCUUCGGGUUUUAAAGUACUUUCAGCGAGGAGGCGUUACUCGCAGAAGAAGCACCGGCUAACUCCGUGCCAGCAGCCGCGGUAAUUC